RNAcentral lists this ribosomal RNA (112 nucleotides) under Caerostris darwini. The record is from RNAcentral. Lineage: Eukaryota; Metazoa; Arthropoda; Arachnida; Araneae; Araneidae.
AACGGCCAUACCAUGCUGAAUAUACCGGUUCUCGUUAGAUCACCGAAGUCAAGCAUCGUUGGGCGCGGUCAGUACUUGGGUGGGUGACCAUCUGGGAACACUGCGUGCCGUU